RNAcentral lists this ribosomal RNA (1372 nucleotides) under Salmonella enterica. Its description in RNAcentral is "partial 23S ribosomal RNA". It matches the Rfam family "Bacterial large subunit ribosomal RNA", at positions 1589 to 2925 of the family's 2925-position model. The record is from RNAcentral. RNAcentral also lists the same sequence under 5 other names. Lineage: Bacteria; Pseudomonadati; Pseudomonadota; Gammaproteobacteria; Enterobacterales; Enterobacteriaceae.
AGCAACAAAUGCCCUGCUUCCAGGAAAAGCCUCUAAGCAUCAGGUAACAUCAAAUCGUACCCCAAACCGACACAGGUGGUCAGGUAGAGAAUACCAAGGCGCUUGAGAGAACUCGGGUGAAGGAACUAGGCAAAAUGGUGCCGUAACUUCGGGAGAAGGCACGCUGACACGUAGGUGAAGUGAUUUACUCAUGGAGCUGAAGUCAGUCGAAGAUACCAGCUGGCUGCAACUGUUUAUUAAAAACACAGCACUGUGCAAACACGAAAGUGGACGUAUACGGUGUGACGCCUGCCCGGUGCCGGAAGGUUAAUUGAUGGGGUCAGCGCAAGCGAAGCUCCUGAUCGAAGCCCCGGUAAACGGCGGCCGUAACUAUAACGGUCCUAAGGUAGCGAAAUUCCUUGUCGGGUAAGUUCCGACCUGCACGAAUGGCGUAAUGAUGGCCAGGCUGUCUCCACCCGAGACUCAGUGAAAUUGAACUCGCUGUGAAGAUGCAGUGUACCCGCGGCAAGACGGAAAGACCCCGUGAACCUUUACUAUAGCUUGACACUGAACAUUGAGCCUUGAUGUGUAGGAUAGGUGGGAGGCUUUGAAGUGUGGACGCCAGUCUGCAUGGAGCCGACCUUGAAAUACCACCCUUUAAUGUUUGAUGUUCUAACGUGGACCCGUUACCCGGGUUGCGGACAGUGUCUGGUGGGUAGUUUGACUGGGGCGGUCUCCUCCUAAAGAGUAACGGAGGAGCACGAAGGUUGGCUAAUCCUGGUCGGACAUCAGGAGGUUAGUGCAAUGGCAUAAGCCAGCUUGACUGCGAGCGUGACGGCGCGAGCAGGUGCGAAAGCAGGUCAUAGUGAUCCGGUGGUUCUGAAUGGAAGGGCCAUCGCUCAACGGAUAAAAGGUACUCCGGGGAUAACAGGCUGAUACCGCCCAAGAGUUCAUAUCGACGGCGGUGUUUGGCACCUCGAUGUCGGCUCAUCACAUCCUGGGGCUGAAGUAGGUCCCAAGGGUAUGGCUGUUCGCCAUUUAAAGUGGUACGCGAGCUGGGUUUAGAACGUCGUGAGACAGUUCGGUCCCUAUCUGCCGUGGGCGCUGGAGAACUGAGGGGGGCUGCUCCUAGUACGAGAGGACCGGAGUGGACGCAUCACUGGUGUUCGGGUUGUCAUGCCAAUGGCACUGCCCGGUAGCUAAAUGCGGAAGAGAUAAGUGCUGAAAGCAUCUAAGCACGAAACUUGCCCCGAGAUGAGUUCUCCCUGAGACUUAGAGUCUCCUGAAGGAACGUUGAAGACGACGACGUUGAUAGGCCGGGUGUGUAAGCGCAGCGAUGCGUUGAGCUAACCGGUACUAAUGAACCGUGAGGCUUAACCUUACAACGCCGAAG